RNAcentral lists this long non-coding RNA (6574 nucleotides) under Malus domestica (apple). Its description in RNAcentral is "long non-coding RNA (MDOM_LNC003865)". Lineage: Eukaryota; Viridiplantae; Streptophyta; Magnoliopsida; Rosales; Rosaceae. The record is from RNAcentral.
UGAGUAUUUAUUUCUGUUAUGAUGAUGUUGAUGUAUAUUGAGCUCAAAUCCUGCACCAUAGUUUAGUGCUUAUAGUAUUCACCGCAUCGCACGCUCGCCUUGGAUCCAAGUAGAUGCUAGUCGUACAGUCCACGCGGAGUGGGUACGACAGGCCAGUCGCGAGAGUGUUAGUGAGAUUCCGACUGGUGGGUGACCUUAGAUUAUGUGCACAGAUGAUUUAUGAGAAGCACUAGAGCGUAACUUGUGUGCAGAAGGCCGGACGGGUCACAGAGGUGACUCCGGUAGAGUGAUAAUGAUAGAUUUUGAGCUCUAGGUUCAACCGUAUAGGGCUAUUAGAGGGCCUACGGUUGAUUACUUUCUUGCACCUGAUAUGAUUAUGUUGAUGCAUUCAUACCUUAUUACUGUUGAGAUAAUGUGGCAUGGCAUAAUUAAUAUGAGAAAUGUUGAGAUGACAUGGCAUGGCAUGAUUGAUAAAGAGAUAAUGUUGAGAUAGUAACAAUGAAGUUUUGAGAAUAUAUAUGUAUAUUUAUAUUUUACAUUUCUGGGAAAGUAUACAGGUUUUACGGAGAGGGGUUACAACGUUUUGAGAAAUGUUUGGAUUUGGAAAAGAAUUGUUUUACUGACCCACUCAAUUUUGGUUUUGCGCCCCUCCAGGUUCAGGAAUCACAAAGGUGUGGUGACUACGAGGAAUUCGACGGUUGUUCUGACAGAUUGGACAAAAUUAGGACUCACCUUCGGGUGUAUCAACUUAUAAAUUGUAUAAUUAAAGCUUCCGUACUGUGCAAAUGGUUACGUCACUCUCACGUGACGGCCAGCAUGCCCUCCUUCGGGACGGGGUGUGUGUCAGUUGGUAUCAGAGCAUGGUUGCAAUCUUGGACAUCUUGAGAAGUUUCUAGUGAAUUCUGUCAGAACUACACCGCCUCGUAGCAAGCCACUUAGUUAGAGGAAUUUAAUCUCCCUAAUAUAGCGGUUUAGGGAAAACUAUUAUUAUGGUGAUUCAGUCUAUUAUAAAAAGGGACAUUUUAAGACGGAUUAUGAGUUGAAUUUGAAUCACUUAAGAGAAAUGAUGAACCUGAGGGAACAAAGUGACGGAUUAACCAAUUGGAAAAGAUGUUUCGGAAUAUGCAAGUCAAAGGAAUCUUCCUUCUGACAGGGGGUCGAGACGACUACCUGGUUUUGGGUAUGAAUUUGUAUCCUGGUGGAAACAGGAGUAUGAUGUGUUGUCACCGGAGGAACAGCCGAUUUAAAAUUGUUUAAGGACUUGUUUAAGGGAAAAGUUUAUCCCUCCGGCAUUUAUCGAUGGUAGUAAACAAGAGUUUACAAAUAUGAGACAAGGAAGGUGAUGAUCGAGGGAUAUUAUAGAAAGUUUUCAGACUUGCCUCGUUCCAUCCAGAUAUGGUUGUUAUUGGUGGAGGUGUUAUGUUGUUUUAAGCUGGGUGGCAAAAAGGGAAGUGGUAUUUUGGGUGACCACUAUCCAUUAUACUUCUUACCAGGAAUAUACGAGAUGCUGUUGAGUCUUGAGGACUCUGAGAACAUGAUCAACGAGAAUAAAGAAGAAUAAGAAAUGAAUGGGAAUUAAAAGAAGACGAUAAAGUUAAUGAUUCGUCUUAUCAAGGAUAUAGAAAGAUUCAGAGCUUCGAAAGAAGUGAAGCUAGAGUUAAUUCUUCCAGCUGAGGUUUUAAUGUCGCUGGUCAGAGUAAAAGUGAUGGAUAUACUGGUAAUCCCAGAUAUUUGAGACAAGGUGUCUCGAGUACAGGAAAUGUACCUUGUGCAGCAGGUACAAAAUUAACACUUUGGGAAGUGUGAAAUUAAUGAAUGUGUUUAUGUGAACAGAGGGGACACAGAAUUGUGAAUCGUCCCUAAAAUCAGUUGUACCCAACAGUUUUCUAUGACAUCGUAGUAUCGAUUCAGCAGGUUUAUGAACUUAGUAGUUUGGUCGGAUUGACCGUGGGUACAGAGAGAUUUGAUGAGUUAUGUUCAGCCAUACAGGCCACGAGAGGUGGAUUCGACUGACACAUGAGAAAUUGGUGAGUUAUAGGCUCGGCCGUACCGACCACGCGGAGUGGAUCCGGCCGACGUAUUAUUGAGAUAAGAGUUGAAUCAGCCGUAUUGGUCAUUCUAGUUGACUUCGGCUGAUAUAUUUCUUAUUAUGUAUGUUAUUACCUAGAGAGUAGUAAAUAAAUGUAGUUGAGACGAGUGUAUGUAUUUUGCAUUGAGUGACAAAAUAGUAAUGUUAUAUCUUUGAGAGUGGUUGCCUACUUAUCGAGACAACGAUGAUUUAUCAGUAUUGCGGGCUGCAGACCGUAAUAUUAAUAACUCAUUCGUGGAUUCGUUAAGCAAGCAACCCGGUAGAUUAUUUUAUGUUAGUAUUGUACUUAUUUAGAAUGCUUAAUAAUGAUAGAAUAUAUAUUGUAUCAGUUAAUUCUGUUCCAUUAGAUUGGUUGGUUAUAAUUGUGACAAGACGAAAUGUUACGGGAAACCAGUACUUUCCAUCGAUCUGGAUGACCAGAGAUUACUUUUGUAAGUAUGCAAAGUGGAUUGAGUCAGGCCGUUAUUUAUGCUGUGAGAGCAAAGAGAUUGUUUUCGAAAGGCUGUCAAAAAUAUUAGCUCAUGUGGUGCUAAAUGAUGUUGUUUGGAGUAGUGUGAAUAAUGUCGAAAGAGUUAGACUUUUCUUGAUGUCUUCCCUGAAAGUAUACCUGGAUUGCCUUCAGGCAGAGAUAUGAGGUUCACUAUUGAUUUGUUGCCAGGUAUAAAUUUAUGUUAAAGAUUGGUUCAUGAUGAGUUAAGGGAAUUGGAAAUUCAGUUGAAAGAAUUGGUUGAUAAAAGUUUUAUUCAACCUAGUACAACGCUUUGGGGGAACCCUAGUUCGUUGGUGAGGAAGAAAAUGGGCUUUAAGACUAUCCCUUGAUUAUAGACAAUGGAAUUGGUAACGAUCGAGAACCGUUAUCCAUGGUGCGUUGAUGUUUGUUUGACCAGCUCAAAGGUAUUUGUGUAUUUUCAAAAGAUUGAUUGAGGUCUGGUUAUUACCAAUUGAAGAUUUUGAGCGACAUUGAUCAUAAGAUAGUUUUCUGGACUUGUUAUAGUCUUUAUGAAGUUUGGUGAUGCUAUAUGGAUACUCAUGCUGUUUUAUGAGUUGAUGGAUGAAGUAUUCCAAUAAUGCCUUUAUAGAUUGAUAUCAUUUUUCAUUGACGAUAUUCUGGUAUACUCUAAGCCAGAGCAGAGCAUGUAAAUGUAUUAAGUCGAUGAAGCAAAGAUUGAGAGAACGUUGGUUGUAUGCUAAGUUUAGCAAAGGCUAAAGUUAAAUGAAUCAAGUCGCAUUCUGAGAAUUGUUAUAUAUUCUUAAGGUAUUCAAGUGAAUCCUUAAAAGAUAGCAGAAAUUGAGAAUUUGGAACAACCACGAGUCGUAAUUGAGAUUUGGAAUUUCUUAACUUACCAGGCUAUCUUGGAUGGUUGUGAAAGAUUUUUCAGUCAUUGCUUUGUCAUUGACGAGACUGUUGAGAAAAAGAGUUAUGCAUGAGUGGGAAGGAAAUUGUGAGUAAGGGAUUCAACAACUAAAGUAUUUCCUCACUCAUACACGUAUUUUAGUAAUCCCAGAAGAUAACGGUAAUUAUUGGUUUAUGGUGAUGGUACAUUAAAUAUUCUUGGAGAUGUAUUGAUGCAAAUGUUAGGGUGAUUGAAUAUGUUUCACGACAAAUGGAACCUAAUGAGAUGAAUUACCCUACUGGUGACUUGGAAGUCACGAUUAUCAUCCUUGCUGUGAAGUUGUGGAGACAUUAUAUGUUGAAAAGAAUGCAAGAUUUUACAAAUCAAAAGAGUCUCCAAUAUUUGUUUAUUCGGAAGGAUUUUGAUAUGAGGCAACAAAGGUGGUUUGAAUUACUUAGUUAUUAUGAUGGUACGAUCAGGGUGAUCGUGAAUUGUUGUAGCUGAAGCACUUGGUGAGAAGACUACAGUAUGAUUAAUGUCUGGCACGUUUGCCAAGAGUAUCAUCUUGUGAAUUGAAAACCAACGGAAGAAAAAUUAAGAAUGGAAGAUCGAGAAGAAGUUAUACUUGUUAAAUUUCAAGUUAGGCCUGUUUGGUAAGGUCGUACUCGAAACUUAAAUGCUUGACGAAGAAAUUUAAGAAUUAACCAAGGUAGAGAAAGAAGGUAAGUUAAAUCCUAAGUGAAUCGGACUUAAGUGAUUAUCGAAAAGUUGGUGAAGUUGCUUACAAGCUUGUGAUGCCCUCAGAAUUAAGACAGAGUAAGUGGUAAAAGUAUUGUGGAUGAACCAUUCAGCGGAAGAAACUACUUGGGAGACGGAAGAACGGAUGAGAGGUAUGUAUCCGAGGCUAUUUUAUGAGUUUUGAUGGGUUGGUUGGUGGCUAGAAUUUCGGGGACGAAAUUCUAUAACGAGGGGAGAUUGUCACAGCCCGUCCCGGGAUUUUUCAUUCCGAGGACGUGAAAUUUCAAAAAUGACCUUAAACGAGAUUAAGGUGUGUAAAGAGAUGACAUUUGUUUUAUUUAAAGUUCCUAAACUAUGGUUAAUUUGUGUUAGGGACUAAAACUAGGUUGUAAUGUUGUGUUUGGGUUAAGGUGGGAUCCUCAUACCUCAAAGCACUCCCUAAAACCCGUAACCUUUCCUUCUCUCUCUUCUUCUUCCAUUUCAGAUCUCUCUCUCUCUCUCACCCUCUCUCGAACACACGGCAACCACCAAGACCACACAAAAAAAACACCCUAAACUUCCACCAACGACGGAUUUAAGAGUGCCAUCGUACUCCUGAAGACCAUACGAUCACGAUGAUACCCAUUUCAAGUAAGUUUCACUUCGAAAACCCUAGUUUCUAAAGUUGCCGUGAAUGUGUACUGUUCAUGAGCUUUGAAUUGGUUGAUUUUUAGGACAAUCCAAGCUCAUAGUGAGCUUAGUGAGGUCCCAAGGAAGCUCGGAGUGCUUCGUUGGAAGUUUUUGGACGUAAGAACACGGAGAUCGACAAGUUCAAAGUUUGGCCGAAGCUUUCGAGGCAUUUUCCGGCGAAUCCCCGGCGAGUUAGGAGUCGAGGUAGGUAUCAAUCUCUUCGUCUCGUAAAGUACUACAACUUUCCUUUUUGUUUCACUCAAUUUCGUUGAGUAUUGAAGAAGUUAUACUCAUUUGAAAAAUACCCAGUUUCCGGCGACCUCCGAGGCUUUCGAGGCAGUUUCCGGCCAAACCACGGCGAACUAGGUGUUGUGCAAGGUACCAUUCUCUUUGUCUCUUCAAGGGCUACAACUUUCGUUUUUGAAGCACUUGAUUUCGUUGAGAAAUGACAAAGUUAUGGCAAUUUGAAAAACUGCCCAGAAAACGGCCGCCGGAAAAACCAGUCCGGCGACCCAAGGAAGAAGAAGGUGCGCGUGGGGGCGCGUGGACCCGUGCCUUCCUUGGCGCGUGGGGGCGCGUGCUACAGUAAAAAAAUUAAUCUAAAAAUAUGUCGACGUCCGUGACGUCGAGUAGAUCACCGUGGUAUAUUCAUAUACCCAAUUUGAGCAAUAUAUGAGGAGUUAUUAGCUAAGAGUGGGAUUAUGCGUUAAAUAAUGUUAAUUUGGUUACUUCUCGUAUAGGCGAGGAUUAUACGGACGUUGGGCAUGGCUAAGGGAGGCUCAGGGACCUUCGACACGUCGAUGUAUUCUGUGAGUGGGCAGUUUUGUUUUCCGUAUAUAUAUAUACUUGACGUUUCCCAGAAAUUGAAUUGAAAUGAAAAUAUGUUUAAAAUGAAAUGCAUAUGAGUUAUGUGGAAAAACGGGAAGUGAAAUACCAUGCAUAGAAUUGAUAUGAAAAGUAUAUAGAAAUGUGAGUUGAAAUGCCAUGCAUGAAUUAAUAUAUGAUGCAUAUGUAUGAAUUGGUGCGGUGGACGCACAGGUAAGAAUUGAUUUAUGAUGCAUAUGUAUGAAUUGGUGCGGUGGACGCACAGGUAAGAAUUGAUUUAUGAUGCAUAUGUAUGAAAUGGUGCGGUGGACGCACAUGUGAGUAUUUAUUUCUGUUAUGAUGAUGUUGAUGUAUAUUGAGCUCAAAUCCUGCACCAUAGUUUAGUGCUUAUAGUAUUCACCGCAUCGCACGCUCGCCUUGGAUCCAAGUAGAUGCUAGUCGUACAGUCCACGCGGAGUGGGUACGACAGGCCAGUCGCGAGAGUGUUAGUGAGAUUCCGACUGGUGGGUGACCUUAGAUUAUGUGCACAGAUGAUUUAUGAGAAGCACUAGAGCGUAACUUGUGUGCAGAAGGCCAGACGGGUCACAGAGGUGACUCCGGUAGAGUGAUAAUGAUAGAUUUUGAGCUCUAGGUUCAACCGUAUAGGGCUAUUAGAGGGCCUACGGUUGAUUACUUUCUUGCACCUGAUAUGAUUAUGUUGAUGCAUUCAUACCUUAUUACUGUUGAGAUAAUGUGGCAUGGCAUAAUUAAUAUGAGAAAUGUUGAGAUGACAUGGCAUGGCAUGAUUGAUAAAGAGAUAAUGUUGAGAUAGUAACAAUGAAGUUUUGAGAAUAUAUAUGUAUAUUUAUAUUUUACAUUUCUGGGAAAGUAUACAGGUUUUACGGAGAGGGGUUACAACGUUUUGAGAAAUGUUUGGAUU